Elaeis guineensis (African oil palm) is the source of this 7073-nucleotide long non-coding RNA. RefSeq lists it as uncharacterized. NCBI's taxonomy places the organism in Eukaryota, Viridiplantae, Streptophyta, Magnoliopsida, Arecales, Arecaceae. The record is from RefSeq and is a predicted model, not a curated record.
UGCAUUGCAGAAUUAUGUUUAUUACAAAAAAGAUGUUGAUUGAGUGUGAUGAUGUCAAGAAAAAGAAAGUUGAUGAGUGCGACUGUGACGAACACAGCUAGGGUUUCUCCGUCUUAAGGAAAUCAGCAGAUCCAUGACCGUAAUAUGCCGAAUCUGGUGAGGGCUUCUUCGUCGGGUCAGUUGAGGAGGUCUAACAAGCCUUGAUGGGGGGUAGUGGAGUCAUCUACUGAGAGUUCUUCCUCUCCAGUAGGAGAGAGACUGAUGGAGAAUACUAGAUCAUAGUCCCAGCUGGUUCUCGGGCCAAGAAAAUUUCAAUGGGAGACCUCACGCACCAUGAAAGCUAAGGUCGAAUUUUUGGAAUAGUGGUUUAACUGUGUGGUUUAGUUCUCCAAAGAGGAGCUUCAGCGAUUAUCUGAGUGACUGGGUUGGGCGUUGAUCAAUAAGUUUUUAGGGUAGGCGGCCGGAUACCUGACUAUAUCUUGCUUGCUCAAGAAGUUAUGCAUUCUCUUGUCAAGGCCUCUAUGUCGUGGAGUCUUAUGAUAUUGAAACUAGAUAUGGAAAAGCUUAUGACAAGGUUCAUUGGUCUUUUUUAAUUCAGUUCUCCUGCUGCUUCUCGGAUUCAUUAGCACAUUACGAGGAUAUUGCAAUUUCUGAAAAGAGGUCCAUUUGGACUUACCUUGGUGUGCCGUUGUGUGGGUGAUUGGCAGAAUCAUUUGGUUUGGACUUUUUCGAAGCUUAUGAAUGUAUCUUUGAAUGAUAUGUGAUAGUUAAGUGCACCUAUAGCCUUGCCUCAGCUAUUGGUAAAUUUUGGUUGGAUUUGGAAAAAUUCCUUUCGGGUUAAAACGUUUCUCUAGAGACUUGCUUGGGAACAUUUGCCGUGUAAGACGAUCCUUGUCUAUUGUCACAUUAUCCCUUUAUAAGAACAAUAUUGUGAUUUAUGUCCUCAAAUUGUGGAAGGCUACGCUCAUACUAUUAUACAUUGUGAAUUUGCUUUGGCUUGUUGGGAGCAACUCAUUCAUAUGUAUCAACUGUCUUGCUGUUCGAAUUCUCUUCCUGAUUUGUUUUAACACCUAUCAGUACCUGCUGCUGAGAAUGGAUAGAAAACAAUUAUGGUAUAUGCAACAUGUUGCUUAUGGCAAGUUUGUAAUGACGCGAUUUUUAAUCAUAAAAACUAUACUUAUUUUCAGCUUCUCUCAUGAUUAGCAGUUUUUCUAUCAUUUAAUAGCUAUAUUGAUGUACAUAUUAUUCAUACUCUUUUUUGGCACUUGUUGGGAUUUGGUGCAUCAAAUUCAAUCUACAGAGAAAAACUCAAGGCGGAGAAGUCUAGUGGACUAGGAUAGUAGAUGCAGCACGCAGUACAUGUAGCCCGCAGGCGUGCGCAGACCCGCGGGAGUGCACGGCCUAGUGCGGUCGCAUGGACAUGCACGACCCAGGCUGUUCGUAUGACACAGUCCACCAUGGACCAUGGGAGGAGACAUGGUCCACGCAUCCACCGUGGAUCGCCGCGGUCUAGAAAGCAAAAAUCAUGGUGUUUGGUGAGCAUGGGUGUGCACAAGCAAUGUGGCGUGCGCGAAGAGGUUCCAGUUCAUGCCAAGGGAGGUUCACGAUCGGUCUAUAGGAGGUUUUGCAUGAUCAAGCGGCGUACAGGCCUUGCGGCUUAGAUCCAAUGGUUAGAAAGGUUGUUGAAUCCUUUUAAAAGUAGGAUUUUGAUCCAGAUUAGGUUUUAGGCCUAUAAAAGCAGGUGCAUGGAUCUGAGAACAUGGUGUAGUGGCUGAGAGCAUUUGAAAGGCAGAGAUUUGGAGCAGCAGGAAGCAUCCAGAGCAUCAGAGGAUCCUGGUACAGUAGGCCUGUGAGAGUUUUCUUUAGGAUUUCUUUUAGAGCUUUUGUAAAGGAUAAGAGGUAAGUGCUUCUUGUUGAAAGAGAGGAUUUGUAUAUGAGAGUUAAGAGUAUGUGAUCUCCUCUUAUAUUUAUUUUCUUUCAUAGUGAAGUUUUGCUUACCCUAUGGAGAUAAGCCUUGGGUUGAUCCACGUAUUCUAUUGUGUCUCUUUUAUUUCUUCUUUUUUUCUACUGCAACAAGUGAUACCGGAUCUUCAAUAAUUGGUAUUAGAGCCAGGUGGUAACAGAGUGUGCGGUUGUUCAGAUUAUAGCAGUGUUGAUCAAGAUUGAAGAAGAUGGAGAAGAUAGGUCAAUCAAGAUGAACAUCAAUCGAUUCGAUGAAAAGAAUAAUUUCUCCCUAUAGCAAGCGAGGAUGAAAGAUAUGCUCAUCCAAUAAGGGUUGAUCGAUGUUCUCUUGUGCAAGGAGAAGCUAACUACCAUGGAGGUGAAGGAUUAGAGGUGGCUCCAUAAGCAGACGAUGAGAACGAUCUGCUUGUACUUGAUAGAUGAUGUAGUGAUCCAUAUGCAUGGUGACUUUCUCGACGUUGAUGUAGACAAAGCUUAAAGAGAUGUAUAUAGCGAAGUCACUCACCAACAUUCUCUUCUUCUGAAAGCAGUUCUACCAGCUGCGGAUGAGCGAGGGACAGAGCAUACAGGAGCAUCUCAGUAACUUUCAGAAGAUUCUCACCGAUCUUCUCAGCAUUGGUAAGAAGGUUGAGGAGAAAACUAAGGUGUUGGUCUUGCUUGCAUCAUUUUUUCUUCUUUUAAGUCUUUGGUGACUGCUUUUCUAGUAGAAAAGUGCACAUUUAAGAUGGAUGAGGUUACUACGGUACUUCUCCAAAAUGAGUUCUUACAUGGGAGAACCAAGCUUCGAGUUCAGGUGGUGACUUGCUUUGGUGGUGACUGUAAGAGGUGGUGGCAUAAGACGAAGGGGCAAAAAAUUACAAAGUGGGUGGUCCAAGUCUAAGAUGAGAGACUCGAGUAAGAUCAGGUGCUACCGGUGCGAUGAGUUGGGACAUCGAGUCAGAGAUUGUUUGCAGCUCAGAGAUCAGACAAAGAUUACUACAGUGAUGGCAGGCUACUACAGUGAUGGCAGGUAGUAAUACAGAAGAUAAUGAUAAUGUUCUUUUACUGACUGAUGAGGUAUCUACUUCUUUCCUCCAGUAGAUUUUAGAUUCUAGUUGUUCGCAUCAUGUGUGUUGUAGAGAGAAGCUGUUUGACUCCUUAAAGAACAGUGAGGAUACUGUUCACUUAUCAGAUAGAUCGAGCUGUGAGAUCAAGGAUAGUGGGACGGUCAGCUUACUGACAUAUGAUGGAGCAGUGAGGAAGUUGGAUGAGAUCCGAUAUAUAUCCAGCUUCAGAAGUAAUCUAAUUUCACUGAGCAGAUUGGAUUCAAGCGACUACAGGUGGAGAGCUGAUGCUGGAAUUCUGAAGGUCAUACACGACAGUAGGAUUUUGAUGAAGGGAAGAAAGUAUGAAGGAUAAUAUCUCUUGGUAGAAAGCUUAGCAUGAGGUGGAGCUUUUGGAGCCAGUGGGAUCUCAGUGCAAGGUAGAGCUCCAAGAGCAGGCGGAUUGGACAUGAGACGGGAGACUUGUGAGGAUGACAAGCGAUGUCGUAAGAUGAAGUUUUUAUUGCCGCAGAAGGCUAUUUUGAGCAAGUCUCAUGUCAGACGGAUUAUAGCACACGACGGAGAUAGGAUCGAGUGGUCUGGCUCGACUCUCAUAUUUGUCUAUCUAUGAGCAGUCAGGCAUUUAUCCCAGGACAUGAGGGCGAGAUCAUCUAGAAGCUCUCAGAGUUAGGUGGAGGCUGAAUGUCGAGUCGAGGUGGAGAUUAUUGAGAUUUGAUGCCUAAAAUUCAAUCUACAAAGAAAAACUUAAGGUGGAGAAGCCUAGCAGACUAGGACAGUAGAUGCAGCACAUCGCACGAUGCAGAGGCUCAGAGAUACAGCACACGUAGGCUCACAGUAGGGUGUGACCCGCAAGCAUGCACAGACCCGUGGGAUGCGAUAGCCUAGGAGUGGGUGCAUGGAUGCAUGGCCCAGGCCAUUCGUGUGAUGCGGUCCACCAUGGACCACGGGAGGAGACACGGUCCACGCAUUUGCCGUGGACCGUUGCGGUCUAGAAAGCAAAAAUCAUGGCAUUUGGUGAGCAUUGGCAUGUGCUGGCGAUGUGGCGCACGCGGAGAGGUUCUGGUUCAUGUCAAGGGAGGUUCACGUGUGGUCCAUAGGAGGUUUUGCACGAUCAAGCGGGGUACAGACCUUGUGGGUUAGAUCCAAUGGUCAUAAAGAUUGUUGAAUCCUUUUGAAAGCAGGAUUUCGAUCUAGAUUGGGUUUUGGACCUAUAAAAGUGGAUGCACAGAUCUGAGAACAAGAUGUAGCGGUUGAGAACACUCGAGCGAUAGAGACUUAGAGUAGCAGAAAGCAUCAAGGGUAGCAGAGGAUCCUAGUACGGCAGGCCUGUGAGAGUCUUCUUUGGGAUUUCUUUAAGAGCUUUUGUAAGGGGUGAGAGGUGAGUGUUUCUUGUUGAGAGAGUGUUUGCAUAUGAGAGUUGAGAGUAUGUGAUCUCUUUUGGUAUUUGUUUUCUUUCAUAGUGAAGCUUUGCAUGCCCAGUGAAGGUAAGUCAUGAGCUGAUCCACGUAUUUGAUUAUGUUUUUUUUAUUUCUUCUUUCUUUCUGCUGCAACAAGUGGUACCAGAUCUCCAACAGCACUGAGGCACUUCCUCACAGCAUGGGCUAUUCUUUAAACAAAGUCAGUUGGUGUCUUGGCUACUCUCUCCCGAUGGAGUUGUUAAGAUCAAUUUUGAUGCAUCGGUCAUGAAUGACAAAGUAGUUGCAGGAUAUGUUAUUAGGGAUCAUAAUGCGGUCAUGCUGUGGGUGAGAGAUAAGUUGUUGCAAUCAAUUUUCAUUCCUUAUGUAGAGUUAACUGCAACUUGGCUUGGUGCAAGGGUUGAAGUGCAAUAGUUCCAAGCCACUCAUAUAUUAUUAGGUCACUCGGUCACAGUAAUUUCAUGGCUUACUAAUUGCUCUACACAUAAAUAUGUCAUAUUCCUUUAUCGCAAGAUUUAUGGAUAUGGAAAGGAUCCGCUAUCCCUUUUCAAAUUACUCAUACUUUUCGGGAGGCUAAUCAAUUAAGUGGUGGAUUAUAUGGCUAAUAAGGUUUUAGAGGGUGAUUUUUCAUAGACUAUGGACUCUAUGGUUGACCAUCAAUACAAGUAUUUUCUUCAGGCGGACAGUUAUAGAGUUUGAUUUUGUAGAUAACUGCUUGUUAUCUCAUAUAUUGUUUUUGUAUUAUAGAAUAUGCAGCCAAUAUGUUGUCUACUUAGCUGAUUGGCAACUGUCCAUCCAUGAUUAUGCUACCUCAGUUUCUCCAUGUUUGUCGGUGUUUUGGGAUCUUAAAGAACAACUGAAUUAUAUGGUAUGACGAUGGUUGCCUUGGUUGGCCUAUUUAACCUGCUUUGCAUAUAACUUUCCAAUAUAUUCUUUGUUAGCUGCCAUGUAUUACAUGUUCAUCUUUAUACUCAUUGUUAUGUAACUGUUAUCAUAAAUCAAGAGACCUCUAUUUUCACUUUGCAUUCCAUUUGUAUUGUUUAUGCAGCAUUUUAUAAAUUUGCUAGACUGGUUGAUGAUUGGUCCAACAUCCAUAUACAAAAACAGCCUCAAUGUGAUUGUGGCCAUUUGCAGGACAUAAAGUUCACAAGGAAGAUGGUUUAAUAUUCUUGCAAAGCUGGGAACCAAAAGAUACUUAGUCUUAUCGCAAAAAGAUAAAAAAAGGGUUGUGGUGAGAAGAUAGCUAAGAGAGAGAGUGAAGAUAAGAGGGUGCAGCUGAUAAAAAGAGGGUCGCAUGUAGCAGAAGAAUCUGAGAUUUUUACAGUGCCUUUUUUGGGAAAAGAGAGAUUUCAAGGGUGGGGGGUUUGAUAUAUCUAAAUGGUUUAUUUGUUUUAUUGUACAGUUUCAGUGUUCCUUGUCUAUUUGCUGAAUCAUUGUGGGUACUAAAACAUGUUAACUGCUCCUUGGCUGAUGAUGGCAUCUAUUCUGAUGACAUUGAGCCGCUUAAGGGAAUGUUUUUUAAGCUGGGAAGUAAUUAUACUAUAUUGGGAAUGGGUACUCAAGCUCUACCAAUUGUACUUUAACUGACAACUAGGGCUUUCAUUCAAAUUGUAGAAGACAUUGGCGGAGAUGUCUCAGUUACUUAUAAUAUAAAGGAACAUCCUGGACUAACCAAGAUUCAGAAUGUGCAACAUAGACCGCAACUAAGAAAUUAUUCUAAUGAUGCUGCUAGUUGUUUCAAUCAUUGGUCAGUCAUCUUGUAUUGGGAUACUUCCCUGCAUUUGGUUCUAGGUGUUGUACUUCAACACUGGAUGGAAUGCUGCAUCACGGCUACUGAAAAUAAAUGAAGGUUACAAGAUACUCGGAGAAUGAAAUACUAGUAGUUCAGUUAGAAAAGAAGGAAUUACUUAUCAUGACAAAAAGAAACAAUGAGGAAAAAAAGAAAAGAAUAAAAAAAGAAUAAAAGGAAGGAAAAAUGGAUAAAAAGAAAAAAACAAAAGAUCAAAGAGUAAAAGAAAAUUGAGGAGGAAAGAGGUGGGUUAUAUCUAACUAUUUUUUUUGUUUUUAUCUUGUAGGUAUUAGCUACUUCGCAGCCCAAUAGUUAUUCUAAUUAUUGGUGUAGCAUGGUCCUGCUUUUUCUAUAUACAUUGGUAUUGCCUUCCAAUGUUGACGGAUACAUUUUAAUGUUUGCUAUAUACUCAUAUAAUUGGUUCAGUUGGAACUUAUUCACCACACCGUUUUCUUUUAGAUGUUCUCUAUUUUCAGCUGUGCAACCUGUACAUGCUACUGGCUUACAAACUUAGUGCUGUAAUGCUGAUUGAUCCUUCAAUUUUUUAGUCUGCCCUUCAGUUCUUUACUUUUUGGAGCACAGGAUGGUUAUGCGAAGGCAACUUUAUGUACUUUAUUGGCUUGUUGUACUACUUCACGUUUCUUCUCUUCCCAUUUUUGGGUUUGAAUCUGUUUACCCGUAUUAUGUUGUAAUAGGGAGUUUUGCUUUUGUACAGUUUCAUCCAUUUCAUGUCUUACUAUGGGGUUCUUUUGUUGUUGUUUGGGCGAAACAGCUGUCUAUGGCCCACUGUUUUGGUUUGUUCUUGUAUAUUCCUCAGACUUCUUAUUAAUAUACUUUGAUUUUCUACCAAAGAAAAAAAAAAAA